Molecule: long non-coding RNA, 774 nt
Organism: Brachypodium distachyon (stiff brome)
Lineage: Eukaryota; Viridiplantae; Streptophyta; Magnoliopsida; Poales; Poaceae
Exons: 3
Source: RefSeq, a predicted model, not a curated record
CGCGCACCGGCAGACAGGUAGUCAGCGACCGCACUGUCACAAAGAAGAUCCCUCCACAGUAAUUAGUCAGAACAUUCCCCAAAGAUGUCAUCAAGCUUGGUGAGAUCACGUCAAGAGAAAUCAAUCUUUGGAAUUACAAGCGACGGCGCUGGCAACAAUUGGGAUUCCCUAUCUGGGAUUGGAUUUGAAUCACAUGAAGCACAGAUAUGUCUCAAUUUGUGUGUUGUACAAAACAAAUUGAUUCGGACUGAUUGAUCAGUGGCAACGACCAUAUAUAUGUGCACAAUUUUUUUUUGUUCAGCACACAAGUAUAUACGUAGCAGUCGCCCACAAACCCGAAACCCUAGAUAUAUGCCACGAGCGGAGAAGCUUGGCACAGGACGCGGAGACGAGAGGAAGAUGGCAGGUGGAGAGCCCAGUGGGGAAUUAAUCCAUGGAGAAAGAAGAGCACACGGGCAUGUACGCCGUUGAGAAGAAGAGAAGUGGGGUGUGGGCAACGGACUGGACUCUCGGAUUUCAGGGUGCACAAAUAGGUGCAACCUGUAUGAACACACGAGGAUUUGUUCCCUUAAUCACAGCCUUACAUUUGCUUUACAAAUCGUGGGGGGGAAAAACAGGAAAUCAUAAAAGCACUAAAAGGAGAAACAUUCAGUGCUUCACAGAUGCACUUUCUCUUUGACACGGCUGCCAUGGCUGCAGCAGCUACCUCUUGCUCUCUUGCCAGUGAGAACUAAAAAAUAUAAGAUGAACAAUGCUUAAGAUUUUACAAUACAA